Vespula pensylvanica (western yellowjacket) is the source of this 665-nucleotide long non-coding RNA. RefSeq lists it as uncharacterized. The transcript has 2 exons. NCBI's taxonomy places the organism in Eukaryota, Metazoa, Arthropoda, Insecta, Hymenoptera, Vespidae. The record is from RefSeq and is a predicted model, not a curated record.
CUUGCCGAGCCUUGCAACGACUCUCUAUCCAACAUGGCGCGAGGAACGACACGAAACGAUAAGAACGAGCUUGCUGCGACCGAGAAAACCGGCCGGACGCACGUCUCUCCUUCAUUUCAUUAAUACAAAAAUACGAGAUGGACAAUCGACAAAUAGAGAAUAAAAAGAAGUAUGAACAGAAGGAAACUCGACGUGAGAUGAUGGCUAGAAAAAGAUUGUAUUUAAGACAACUGUUUCAGAAGGAAUUCAUCGAACAGGAAAAACUGUUACGUCAGAUAGGCUAUGCUUUAAUUCCUACAAGACCUUGACCAUUUCUUUUAUCAUACUUUUAUAAUAAUAUUGCCUUUUCGUUUAUCUAUAAAUUUAGUAAAAAUAUAUUGUGUUAUUGGAAUAUAUCUUGUGGUAACAAUCCUGUAAAGAAAAUAUUGCCUUAGGGAGCAUUUAUUAUACGUUAAAUGUUACAUAUAUGUGUAUGCAUUUGUGGUGUAAUAUAAAUAAAAUAGAGAUAUAUCUUACAAGGUGACAAUGAGUGAAAAUAGAUUGAUUCUCCAUGCUUUCUUAGAUUUUGUAUCUUUCAUUCUUAGACUUUGGUAAAAGAGUUCGGUCCAAAAAAUUAUACAAAAUGCCAAAAGAAGGUCAAAAAGCGUAGACUCCUUUAGAAGGUC